CCUACGGGGGGCAGCAGUGAGGAAUAUUGGUCAAUGGGCGCGAGCCUGAACCAGCCAAGUCGCGUGAGGGAGGACGGCCCUACGGGUUGUAAACCUCUUUUGCCGGGGAGCAACGGGCGUCACGUGUGGCGCCACUGAGAGUACCCGGAGAAAAAGCAUCGGCUAACUCCGUGCCAGCAGCCGCGGUAAUACGGAGGAUGCGAGCGUUAUCCGGUUUUAUUGGGUUUACAGGGUGCGUAGGCGGAUCGUUACGUCAGUGGUCAAAUUGAGGGGCUCAACCCCUUCCCGCCAUUGAAACUGGCGUUCUUGAGUGGAAGAGAGGUAUGCGGAAUGCGUGGUGUAGCGGUGAAAUGCAUAGAUAUCACGCAGAACACCGAUUGCGAAGGCAGCAUGCCGGCUUCCGACUGACGCUGAAGCACGAAAGCGUGGGGAUCGAACAGGAUUAGAUACCCCGGUAGUC
This 460-nucleotide ribosomal RNA is filed under the name uncultured bacterium. RNAcentral describes it as "partial 16S ribosomal RNA". It matches the Rfam family "Bacterial small subunit ribosomal RNA", at positions 338 to 795 of the family's 1533-position model. The record is from RNAcentral.